Molecule: long non-coding RNA, 420 nt
Organism: Cyprinus carpio (common carp)
Lineage: Eukaryota; Metazoa; Chordata; Actinopteri; Cypriniformes; Cyprinidae
Exons: 5
Source: RefSeq, a predicted model, not a curated record
AAGAGGAGUUUGUGGGAGAAGAGACAACUAGAUCUGUAUAGAUUAGAUCAUGGUGGUCUCCAUAAAUAGACCUGUUGCCAAAGAGUGGAUGAUGGAGGGACCACAGCCAGACAUCAGGACAGAAGUCUGCAGGAGUCAGCAGCUACACACACCACAAAGGCUCUUUUAAGAGCCACAUUUUGAGAGCAUCUUUGGCUUUCUACACACACCACAAAGGCUCUUUUAAGAGCCACAUCUUGAGAGCAUCUUUGACUUUCAGCUACACACACCACAAAGGCUCUUUUAAGAGCCACAUCUUGAGAGCAUCUGACUUUAAAGUUCUCUACAGUCAACCACACUCACUCAACGACGAUAUCCACAGUUCACACUCUAUCAAAACCAAGGUAUGUGUAUUUAUUGUGACAGAAUUAUUAGACAUUA